Molecule: ribosomal RNA, 497 nt
Filed under: uncultured bacterium
Lineage: Bacteria
Description: partial 16S ribosomal RNA
Rfam family: Bacterial small subunit ribosomal RNA
Source: RNAcentral
GAUGAACGCUGGCGGCGUGCCUAAUACAUGCGAGUCGAGCGAACGGACGAGAAGCUUGCUUCUCUGAUGUUAGCGGCGGACGGGUGAGUAACACGUGGAUAACCUACCUAUAAGACUGGGAUAACUUCGGGAAACCGGAGCUAAUACCGGAUAAUAUUUUGAACCGCAUGGUUCAAAAGUGAAAGACGGUCUUGCUGUCACUUAUAGAUGGAUCCGCGCUGCAUUAGCUAGUUGGUAAGGUAACGGCUUACCAAGGCAACGAUGCAUAGCCGACCUGAGAGGGUGAUCGGCCACACUGGAACUGAGACACGGUCCAGACUCCUACGGGAGGCAGCGGUAGGGAAUCUUCCGCAAUGGGCGAAAGCCUGACGGAGCAACGCCGCGUGAGUGAUGAAGGUCUUCGGAUCGUAAAACUCUGUUAUUAGGGAAGAACAUAUGUGUAAGUAACUGUGCACAUCUUGACGGUACCUAAUCAGAAAGCCACGGCUAACUACGUG